AGUAACACGUAAGCAACCUGCCUAUUAGAGGGGAAUAACAGUGAGAAAUCAUUGCUAAUACCGCAUAUGCCAUAGGAACCACAUGGUUCUAGUGGGAAAGGAGAAAUCCGCUAAUAGAUGGGCUUGCGUCUGAUUAGAUAGUUGGUGGGGUAAUGGCCUACCAAGUCAACGAUCAGUAGCCGGACUGAGAGGUUGAACGGCCACAUUGGGACUGAGAUACGGCCCAGACUCCUACGGAAGGCAGCAG
Molecule: ribosomal RNA, 247 nt
Filed under: uncultured bacterium
Lineage: Bacteria
Description: partial 16S ribosomal RNA
Rfam family: Bacterial small subunit ribosomal RNA
Source: RNAcentral